GGUGGCGAGUGGCGAACGGGUGAGUAAUAUAUCGGAACGUGCCCAGUCGUGGGGGAUAACGUAGCGAAAGCUACGCUAAUACCGCAUACGAUCUAUGGAUGAAAGCGGGGGACUCGUAAGGGCCUCGCGCGAUUGGAGCGGCUGAUAUCAGAUUAGGUAGUUGGUGGGGUAAAGGCCUACCAAGCCUGCGAUCUGUAGCUGGUCUGAGAGGACGACCAGCCACACUGGAACUGAGACACGGUCCAGACUCC
This 251-nucleotide ribosomal RNA is filed under the name uncultured bacterium. RNAcentral's name for it is "partial 16S ribosomal RNA". It matches the Rfam family "Bacterial small subunit ribosomal RNA", at positions 87 to 339 of the family's 1533-position model. The record is from RNAcentral.